GUUUCAUACUGUCAGUUUUAUUUUUAUUUACAGUUUAAUUUCCAGUUGAGAACAUCUGAUCUGCACUGCUGGUUAAAAUCAAUCACAACAUCAGCAUUAUUUGAACUAUUUCCAGUAAAACUGCAUUGAUUUGUCUGCAGAGCAAGUAAGUGGACAUUGCAUACUGUUAUAGUGAUAGUCUUCGUUCAUUUGUCCAGGAGAUGUUUUAGUAGAUGAUAUCUGUUCUAAAGUAAAAUCUUCAAAAAUCUCAAAUCAAAUGGUUAUUGAUUAGGAGUCAUUCCUCAUUACAGUGAAUGUGACAGUCAGGGGUUUGUUUGAGACUUCAGUAUAGUAAGUAAAUGAGAUCUAAACAAAGAGGGACUAUUAAAUAAAUUAUGUUUUUUUUUUUUUAUGCAUCUAAUGAAUGCAUAACAGCAGAAUUCAGAAAUGUCUGUUUUUAUUUAUGCAAAAUUAUGUUUAAAGUAUCAAAAUAUUUUUUUCAUUGUGUGUAUUUUCAAACUAUGAAAAUAGGCAUUUUAUUUCAGGAAAAAAAAAAAAACCUUCACCACAUAACACUGAUAAACAUAAUACAUCAUUUAAAAUGUGCAGUAAAUGUUUUUCCUGUGACAUCUGUAAACCCGAUGUUAAACCCUCGUUGGUAAACAAAUUAAAUGAACUAGUGUUGGGCCAAAAGUUCCCAUCCUUGAAGAAACAUCAAUACGUGUUUGAAAUAUUAACAUAAAAAAAAUCAAAAUCAGCAUUAACUUAUGAUCCAAAAUCUGUUAGUCUCUUUUGAUUUGGUCACUAUUAUCAGCUACCAAUUACUGUGAAAAUAUAAUGAAAUAAUACACGGCAUAAAAAUGAAAUUAAAGAACCAAUAAAUACACAACAGCAUGGAAAAAUCAAGAAAAAAACAAUAAAUUUCACAGCAUCACUCUUUAAAUGGAAAAACGCUUUUGUAAAUCCUAAUAUUAGCAGAAAUAUUGCUCUCUCCACACCAAACAGAGCAAAUACAGUCACAAACCCCAUUGAGAGCGUCACUCCAACAAAACAAAACAGUAAUAACUUGAAUGCAAAAACUAGAGUUGUCCGAGCUUGCAUUUGAUCUGGUAUAAUGGAGUAAAUAGUGUAUAAAUGAGCCCCGAAUGUGACCCCGGGAGCAGCAUGGCACGCUAUGAGCACAUCUGACCACGUCCGUACACUGACAGCUGUUCCUACAGUCAGUCCUAGACCGGCUAUGAACACUAUACUGGGAAAUGUAAAGAUCAUGACUAAAAACAUUAUGAUUUGGUGUCCAUGUCGCGAAUUUGCAAGGUCAUGAUAUGCAACAGCUACUGGGAAAGUGGAGGAUAGGAUCAAAUUUAAAGGAACAGCAACAUCUGGAUUGAGAAUAUUUCUUAUAGUGACCGUAAAACUAACAAGUACAAAUAAUAUUUCCGCAAAAUGAAAAUGUUCAUGCGUUAUUUUAGUGAAAAUAAAAGCAGUGUUCAGUAAAAUGAGUAAAAUCCAUCGUGCAGUUUCUGCUGAACUGUCAUGUGUUUCAGAGAGGAUUUGAUUUUGUUCAUGCACAUCUUGAAUGGUUUCAUCUGCUUCUAACUUUUCACUCAGUGCUGAGUGAAAUCUGUGAUCAUUGAGCCGAACUAACUUGUGUAUUUCUGUUAUAAGAGUUGUUCUUUGAGCAGGUUUUGGUUCAGAGUCUCUUUUGAUGUGAAAUCUUCCUCCACAUGCGUUGAU
This is a long non-coding RNA of Cyprinus carpio carpio, 1713 nucleotides long. The record is from Ensembl. NCBI's taxonomy places the organism in Eukaryota, Metazoa, Chordata, Actinopteri, Cypriniformes, Cyprinidae.